UCUGGGCAAGGUGGUGUGUGCCUGUAGUCCCAGCUACUUAGGAGGCUGAGGUGGGAGAAUAGCUUGAACCUGGGAGUUUAGGGCUUUAGUGUACUAUGCUGAUUGUGUAUCUGCACUAGACAUCAAUAAGGUGACCUCCUAGGAGCAGGGACCACCAGGUUUCCUAAAGAGCAGGGAACCAGCCUAGUUGGAAACAGAGCAGGUGAAAACUCCUGUGCUGAUCAGUAGUAGGGCUGUGCUUAUGAAUAGCCACUGCACUCCAUCAUAGGCAACAUAGCAAGACCCCCAUCUCU
RNAcentral lists this signal recognition particle RNA (293 nucleotides) under Saimiri boliviensis boliviensis (Bolivian squirrel monkey). Its description in RNAcentral is "Metazoan signal recognition particle RNA (ENSSBOG00000016264.1)". It matches the Rfam family "Metazoan signal recognition particle RNA". From Rfam's summary of the family: The signal recognition particle (SRP) is a universally conserved ribonucleoprotein. It is involved in the co-translational targeting of proteins to membranes. Lineage: Eukaryota; Metazoa; Chordata; Mammalia; Primates; Cebidae. The record is from Rfam by way of RNAcentral.